GUGGAUAUGCAUAAUUAUGCAAUGUUAUUCCUUAAUUACACAAAUCUAUCUUAAAUCAAGUAAAAAACCUACAAAGAAUUACCUCGCCUUCACAGUGCUUGAAUACAAACCAUCCCUCAUAUGCUAUACAUCUUCUGGUACUGGGGAUGGCAAUAGCUUUCCUUUUGAAGAAAUAGAUGUAGAUUCAUCAGGUGAAAUUCCAAGAGCAACAUUAACAUGUCGCUUAUAAUCCACGUGACGAUUAGACUUUUGGAUCUAGUACUAGCAACUUUUGAUCAAAAUGCAUAUAAUUGAAGAAGCUCUCCACAUCCCCGUGUGUUGCUGGAGAACUACUUCUCAACAUGUUGGGCAGAGAAGACAAAAUUGGAUUUUCGGUGCAUUCUCGAAAGCUACAUGAUCUAUCUAAUGAAGCAGCUAUGUUGGAUCCACGCUGCGCAGUGUACAAUGGUCUAUUUGGGCUACUGGAAGAUGGAUCAAACUUACUAGAUGUCGCCAUUGCACUAGUUUCAAGACAUCCUUCAAUUAAAAAAUACAGACCAGAGAUUGGU
RNAcentral lists this long non-coding RNA (548 nucleotides) under Trifolium pratense (red clover). Its description in RNAcentral is "long non-coding RNA (TPRA_LNC010840)". The record is from RNAcentral. Lineage: Eukaryota; Viridiplantae; Streptophyta; Magnoliopsida; Fabales; Fabaceae.